UAGGAAUCAUGUGAUCACAGAUUCAUCCCAUUGGAUCUAGAUUUGGUUCCCAUGAUGGACAUUUUCAGUUGUAAGCAGCUUGUAAAUUAUUCUGCGGUGUCUAAAUUUCCUCAGAUGGUUUCCAUACCCACGAGGAAGUCGGCAUUAUUUUUGUAUAUUAUUUUCGUAUGGAUGCCUCGCAUCCGUCUAGUAAAAUCAAUCAAGACGAUCACUUAAUAAAAAUGGGAGUGUAAAAGGUCUCAAUUCCUAUUGAGCAUCAGGGUUUGAAAAACCUCUUUUAUAAAACAUCACUGCCAUAUCUUGCUAAAAACUGAAUUUUCACAUAAAUUCAAACCCUGUGUAUAUAGGUUCGAACGAGGCCUCACACAACUUCCAUAUAACAACACAUUGACCCACACACAUACACACACUCAGAUAAUAGUUUCUUGAAAAGAGGCGGUCACCAUGGUAACACGGAUGUCGGGGGGUGCCUAACACCUUCCCCCCGCAUAACCAAGUCCCCAGACCCUAAACGAAUCUCGGUUUCACCGACCCGUAUAUCAGUGUCACACCACUGGGUCAAUGUGCAAACCUUUUCUCGGUUGUGUUGGUACAACCAUUUAAAAAACUAACUGGCGACUCUU
RNAcentral lists this long non-coding RNA (623 nucleotides) under Panax ginseng (ginseng). Its description in RNAcentral is "long non-coding RNA (PGIN_LNC002917)". Lineage: Eukaryota; Viridiplantae; Streptophyta; Magnoliopsida; Apiales; Araliaceae. The record is from RNAcentral.